Nycticebus coucang (slow loris) is the source of this 126-nucleotide small nucleolar RNA. RefSeq annotates it as small nucleolar RNA SNORA69. NCBI's taxonomy places the organism in Eukaryota, Metazoa, Chordata, Mammalia, Primates, Lorisidae. The record is from RefSeq and is a predicted model, not a curated record. The transcript has a single exon.
AAAUCAGGUCAUAAUUAUGCUUCAUUUUGUGGAGUAUAGCCAUUAUCUUGCUGAAAAAUAUCUGCGUUAAUCAUUUUUACUUUGUCUUUAUGAGGAUAAAAUAGUGACAGAAUGAACUAGACAAUU